RNAcentral lists this ribosomal RNA (492 nucleotides) under uncultured bacterium. RNAcentral's name for it is "partial 16S ribosomal RNA". It matches the Rfam family "Bacterial small subunit ribosomal RNA", at positions 29 to 507 of the family's 1533-position model. The record is from RNAcentral.
AGUGAACGCUGGCGGUAGGCCUAACACAUGCAAGUCGAACGGCAGCACAGUAAGAGCUUGCUCUUACGGGUGGCGAGUGGCGGACGGGUGAGGAAUAUAUCGGAAUCUACUUUUUCGUGGGGGAUAACGUAGGGAAACUUACGCUAAUACCGCAUACGACCUACGGGUGAAAGGAGGGGAUCUUCGGACCUUGCGCGAUUGAAUGAGCCGAUGUCGGAUUAGCUAGUUGGCGGGGUAAAGGCCCACCAAGGCGACGAUCCGUAGCUGGUCUGAGAGGAUGAUCAGCCACACUGGAACGUAGACACGGUCCAGACUCCUACGGGAGGCAGCAGUCGGGAAUAUUGGACAAUGGGCGCAAGCCUGAUCCAGCCAUACCGCGUGGGUGAAGAAGGCCUUCGGUUUGUAAAGCCCUUUUGUUGGGAAAGAAAAGCAGCAGGUUAAUACCCCGCUGUUCUGACGGUACCCAAAGAAUAAGCACCGGCUAACUUCGUG